This 2786-nucleotide ribosomal RNA is filed under the name human gut metagenome. RNAcentral describes it as "bacterial LSU rRNA". It matches the Rfam family "Bacterial large subunit ribosomal RNA". The record is from RNAcentral.
AGCGUACACGGUGGAUGCCCUGGCAGUCAGAGGCGAUGAAGGACGUGCUAAUCUGCGAUAAGCGUCGGUAAGGUGAUAUGAACCGUUAUAACCGGCGAUUUCCGAAUGGGGAAACCCAGUGUGUUUCGACACACUAUCAUUAACUGAAUCCAUAGGUUAAUGAGGCGAACCGGGGGAACUGAAACAUCUAAGUACCCCGAGGAAAAGAAAUCAACCGAGAUUCCCCCAGUAGCGGCGAGCGAACGGGGAGGAGCCCAGAGCCUGAAUCAGUGUGUGUGUUAGUGGAAGCGUCUGGAAAGGCGCGCGAUACAGGGUGACAGCCCCGUACACAAAAAUGCACAUAUUGUGAGCUCGAUGAGUAGGGCGGGACACGUGGUAUCCUGUCUGAAUAUGGGGGGACCAUCCUCCAAGGCUAAAUACUCCUGACUGACCGAUAGUGAACCAGUACCGUGAGGGAAAGGCGAAAAGAACCCCGGCGAGGGGAGUGAAAAAGAACCUGAAACCGUGUACGUACAAGCAGUGGGAGCACGCUUAGGCGUGUGACUGCGUACCUUUUGUAUAAUGGGUCAGCGACUUAUAUUCUGUAGCAAGGUUAACCGAAUAGGGGAGCCGAAGGGAAACCGAGUCUUAACUGGGCGUUAAGUUGCAGGGUAUAGACCCGAAACCCGGUGAUCUAGCCAUGGGCAGGUUGAAGGUUGGGUAACACUAACUGGAGGACCGAACCGACUAAUGUUGAAAAAUUAGCGGAUGACUUGUGGCUGGGGGUGAAAGGCCAAUCAAACCGGGAGAUAGCUGGUUCUCCCCGAAAGCUAUUUAGGUAGCGCCUCGUGAAUUCAUCUCCGGGGGUAGAGCACUGUUUCGGCAAGGGGGUCAUCCCGACUUACCAACCCGAUGCAAACUGCGAAUACCGGAGAAUGUUAUCACGGGAGACACACGGCGGGUGCUAACGUCCGUCGUGAAGAGGGAAACAACCCAGACCGCCAGCUAAGGUCCCAAAGUCAUGGUUAAGUGGGAAACGAUGUGGGAAGGCCCAGACAGCCAGGAUGUUGGCUUAGAAGCAGCCAUCAUUUAAAGAAAGCGUAAUAGCUCACUGGUCGAGUCGGCCUGCGCGGAAGAUGUAACGGGGCUAAACCAUGCACCGAAGCUGCGGCAGCGACACUAUGUGUUGUUGGGUAGGGGAGCGUUCUGUAAGCCUGUGAAGGUGUACUGUGAGGUAUGCUGGAGGUAUCAGAAGUGCGAAUGCUGACAUAAGUAACGAUAAAGCGGGUGAAAAGCCCGCUCGCCGGAAGACCAAGGGUUCCUGUCCAACGUUAAUCGGGGCAGGGUGAGUCGACCCCUAAGGCGAGGCCGAAAGGCGUAGUCGAUGGGAAACAGGUUAAUAUUCCUGUACUUGGUGUUACUGCGAAGGGGGGACGGAGAAGGCUAUGUUGGCCGGGCGACGGUUGUCCCGGUUUAAGCGUGUAGGCUGGUUUUCCAGGCAAAUCCGGAAAAUCAAGGCUGAGGCGUGAUGACGAGGCACUACGGUGCUGAAGCAACAAAUGCCCUGCUUCCAGGAAAAGCCUCUAAGCAUCAGGUAACAUCAAAUCGUACCCCAAACCGACACAGGUGGUCAGGUAGAGAAUACCAAGGCGCUUGAGAGAACUCGGGUGAAGGAACUAGGCAAAAUGGUGCCGUAACUUCGGGAGAAGGCACGCUGAUAUGUAGGUGAAGCGACUUGCUCGUGGAGCUGAAAUCAGUCGAAGAUACCAGCUGGCUGCAACUGUUUAUUAAAAACACAGCACUGUGCAAACACGAAAGUGGACGUAUACGGUGUGACGCCUGCCCGGUGCCGGAAGGUUAAUUGAUGGGGUCAGCGCAAGCGAAGCUCUUGAUCGAAGCCCCGGUAAACGGCGGCCGUAACUAUAACGGUCCUAAGGUAGCGAAAUUCCUUGUCGGGUAAGUUCCGACCUGCACGAAUGGCGUAAUGAUGGCCAGGCUGUCUCCACCCGAGACUCAGUGAAAUUGAACUCGCUGUGAAGAUGCAGUGUACCCGCGGCAAGACGGAAAGACCCCGUGAACCUUUACUAUAGCUUGACACUGAACAUUGAGCCUUGAUGUGUAGGAUAGGUGGGAGGCUUGGAAGUGUGGACGCCAGUCUGCAUGGAGCCGACCUUGAAAUACCACCCUUUAAUGUUUGAUGUUCUAACGUUGACCCGUAAUCCGGGUUGCGGACAGUGUCUGGUGGGUAGUUUGACUGGGGCGGUCUCCUCCUAAAGAGUAACGGAGGAGCACGAAGGUUGGCUAAUCCUGGUCGGACAUCAGGAGGUUAGUGCAAUGGCAUAAGCCAGCUUGACUGCGAGCGUGACGGCGCGAGCAGGUGCGAAAGCAGGUCAUAGUGAUCCGGUGGUUCUGAAUGGAAGGGCCAUCGCUCAACGGAUAAAAGGUACUCCGGGGAUAACAGGCUGAUACCGCCCAAGAGUUCAUAUCGACGGCGGUGUUUGGCACCUCGAUGUCGGCUCAUCACAUCCUGGGGCUGAAGUAGGUCCCAAGGGUAUGGCUGUUCGCCAUUUAAAGUGGUACGCGAGCUGGGUUUAGAACGUCGUGAGACAGUUCGGUCCCUAUCUGCCGUGGGCGCUGGAGAACUGAGGGGGGCUGCUCCUAGUACGAGAGGACCGGAGUGGACGCAUCACUGGUGUUCGGGUUGUCAUGCCAAUGGCACUGCCCGGUAGCUAAAUGCGGAAGAGAUAAGUGCUGAAAGCAUCUAAGCACGAAACUUGCCCCGAGAUGAGUUCUCCCUGACUCCUUGA